CUUUUAAAUGCUUUAGUCUCCUCAGCCAGUACAGAGCCAGACACUGACAGAGAGACACAGAGAGCUCAGCUCGUCCUGCUCACACAUCAACCUACCUUCUUAACCUACAACAACUUUCUGGAUUGGAGAAACACACAUUGUCAUUAAUACAGAGGAGAGAGGAACAGGAUAGCGAGAGUGCACAAGAGGAGAGCGCAAAAUAUUUCAAAGAUUGGACAUUGGCGAGUAAUAUGCUCGGAAGUGGUGGAUGGUGUGCUCGCCUUCUGAGUCUGACCAGCUCCGUCUGCCUCUCCUGCGGCGACCGCGUUUGGGUCGGCCUCUGGGACUAGAUCCCAUGUCCAGGGCGGAGGUCCGAACAAAAGAUUUGCUUCGGGAAAGACGUAUUCUAGGUCGUAAUAUUGUUUCCCAGUGUGUUUCAAGAAUGGUCCACCACCCAAAGGACAUCCAGCCAACUGUGGGAAGC
RNAcentral lists this long non-coding RNA (463 nucleotides) under Salmo salar (Atlantic salmon). Its description in RNAcentral is "lncRNA (ENSSSAG00000089018.1, ENSSSAG00000110128.1)". Lineage: Eukaryota; Metazoa; Chordata; Actinopteri; Salmoniformes; Salmonidae. The record is from RNAcentral.